GACGAACGCUGGCGGCGCGCUUAACACAUGCAAGUCGAGCGAUGAAACUUUAACAGAACCCUUCGGGGCGAAGAUAAAGUGGAUUAGCGGCGGACGGGUGAGUAACACGUGAGUAACCUGCCUUAGACAUUGGGAUAGCCUCGGGAAACCGGGAUUAAUACCAAAUAAAAUCAUAAUGACACAUGUCAUAACGAUCAAAACUCCGGUGGUCUAAGAUGGACUCGCGUCCCAUUAGCUAGUUGGUGGAGUAAAAGCCUACCAAGGCGACGAUGGGUAGCCGGCCUGAGAGGGUGAACGGCCACAUUGGAACUGAGAAACGGUCCAAACUCCUACGGGAGGCAGCAGUGGGGAAUAUUGCACAAUGGAGGGAACUCUGAUGCAGCGACGCCGCGUGAACGAAGAAGGCUUUCGAGUCGUAAAGUUCUUUUAUAUGGGAAGAUAAUGACGGUACCAUAAGAAAAAGCCCCGGCUAACUACGUG
Molecule: ribosomal RNA, 480 nt
Filed under: uncultured bacterium
Lineage: Bacteria
Description: partial 16S ribosomal RNA
Rfam family: Bacterial small subunit ribosomal RNA
Source: RNAcentral